UCACAAGCUCCUUUUCGCUAAGCUGAACUACACUUUGCACCAAGCCCUUGCCGUAAGAGCGGGUUCCUACAAGAUAAGCCCUCUUAUGAUCCUUUAAAGCACCUGCCACAAUUUCGGAAGCACUUGCAGAGCCUUCAUUUAUGAGAACAACUACGGGCAUAUCUUUAGGUAAUCUUUUUACAAAUCGGCGGACAUUAUAAGUUUCGCUUGUGUUGCGGGCUCUUCCCUUUGUCGAAACCACAACACCCGAUUCUAAAAAUAUACUCGCUACAUCAAUAGAGCUUGUAAUCAAACCUCCCGGAUUAUUCUU
RNAcentral lists this non-coding RNA (310 nucleotides) under uncultured Treponema sp. The record is from RNAcentral. Lineage: Bacteria; Pseudomonadati; Spirochaetota; Spirochaetia; Treponematales; Treponemataceae.